Long non-coding RNA from Ficedula albicollis (Collared flycatcher), 507 nucleotides. RefSeq lists it as uncharacterized. NCBI's taxonomy places the organism in Eukaryota, Metazoa, Chordata, Aves, Passeriformes, Muscicapidae. The transcript is spliced from 7 exons. The record is from RefSeq and is a predicted model, not a curated record.
CGGCAGUCUUGGCGGCACGCGGUAAGGCGGCGCGGGAUGUGGUACGAUGGAAAGGAGGUUUUCAGUGGUGUCGAGUACAUUGUGCAUUAAGCACUUCAUGGAAGGACCACUACAAGUCGAAGAAUACUUGGUACACACAAGUGGAUUUUCCUGAAAGCCAUACAGGCAUGAACACUUUCUAAUAGUGGGAAUGUGACGUCCUGAAGAAUAUUUCCUUGCAGCAGGAAAUAAAACAGAGAGAUGCUUGAAUGCUGCUUCUGAAUAGAAGGAAAACGUGUUUCACAGAAAACAAGUAGGAACAAGAGCUUUGGGCUUUUUCAGUGAUGAAUUGAAACACUUUGUCAGAACUGCUUGACAAAUGUGGAUGAUGUAACCAGAAGGAAGUCUAACCUGAAGAGAUUGUGGCUUGGAGUGGGAUGCCAUGCUUUUAAAAGCCUACUGAAACAGCUGCAAUUUUGUUCAGUAGAUACUGUCUUCAGAAAGAUUGUGUGGACCAAAAUUGCUGUC